GGGUAAAGCUCAGUGGUAAAGCACAUGCUUAGCAUGCACGAGGUCCCGGGUUCAAUCCCCAGUACCUCCA
RNAcentral lists this transfer RNA (70 nucleotides) under Camelus bactrianus (Bactrian camel). It matches the Rfam family "tRNA". Rfam says of the family: Transfer RNA (tRNA) molecules are approximately 80 nucleotides in length. Their secondary structure includes four short double-helical elements and three loops (D, anti-codon, and T loops). Lineage: Eukaryota; Metazoa; Chordata; Mammalia; Artiodactyla; Camelidae. The record is from Rfam by way of RNAcentral. RNAcentral also lists the same sequence under 2 other names.